Molecule: long non-coding RNA, 331 nt
Filed under: Capra hircus (goat)
Lineage: Eukaryota; Metazoa; Chordata; Mammalia; Artiodactyla; Bovidae
Description: lncRNA (ENSCHIG00000007897.1)
Source: RNAcentral
GUAUUGAUUGCUAACUUCUAAUUUUUUGUUAAACCAAAAUUGGCACUGGGCUGUUUGGCACUCUGGUCCCAGGGAAUAUGAUCUAUGAGAAAGCUUUUCACAAAAAGGACUGAUCACCUAAGAAAAACAGUUUCAUGCCAGAAAGUUUGCACAGGUUUUUCUCUACAUGGGCUGUUUGUCGUGAUUUGAAGUCCCACCCUGGCACCACAAGGACUUUGGUCCCUAGGAAUUUCAAGGGUAAAUGAUCAGAUGGAGCUUGCAUUGGUGAAAGAAGGAAAAGCAAGAAAAUUUAAACCUGUCCCUCAGGAAUCACACCCAAAAGAAGUCAUCC